GACGAACGCUGGCGGCGUGCUUAACACAUGCAAGUCGAACGGAAAGGCCCGGCUUUUGUUGGGUGCUCGAUUGGCGAACGGGUGAGUAACACGUGAGUAACCUGCCCUUGACUUUGGGAUAUCUUCUGGAAACUGGGGCUAAUACCGGGUAGGAGCUCCUGCUGCAUGGUGGGGGUUGGAAAGUUUCGGCGGUUGUGGCUGGACUCGCGGCUUAUCAGCUUGUUGGUGGGGUAGUGGCUUACCAAGGCUUUGACGGGUAGCCGGCCUGAGAGGGUGACCGGGGACAUUGGGACUGAGAUAGGGACCAGUAUCGUACGGGAGGCAGAAGUGGGGAAUAUGGCACAAUGGGCGGAAGCCUGAGACAGAAACGCCGCGUGCGGGAUGCCGGCCUUCGAGUUGUAAACAGCUUUGGCAUGUGACGAAGAGUGAGUGACGGUAAUGGGUAAAGAAGCACCGGCUAACUACGUG
RNAcentral lists this ribosomal RNA (468 nucleotides) under uncultured bacterium. RNAcentral's name for it is "partial 16S ribosomal RNA". It matches the Rfam family "Bacterial small subunit ribosomal RNA", at positions 28 to 507 of the family's 1533-position model. The record is from RNAcentral.